This 253-nucleotide ribosomal RNA is filed under the name uncultured bacterium. Its description in RNAcentral is "partial 16S ribosomal RNA". It matches the Rfam family "Bacterial small subunit ribosomal RNA", at positions 524 to 776 of the family's 1533-position model. The record is from RNAcentral.
UACGUAGGGUGCAAGCGUUAAUCGGAAUUACUGGGCGUAAAGCGUGCGCAGGCGGUGAUGUAAGACAGUUGUGAAAUCCCCGGGCUCAGCCUGGGAACUGCAUCUGUGACUGCAUUGCUGGAGUGCGGCAGAGGGGGAUGGAAUUCCGCGUGUAGCAGUGAAAUGCGUAGAUAUGCGGAGGAACACCGAUGGCGAAGGCAAUCCCCUGGGCCUGCACUGACGCUCAUGCACGAAAGCGUGGGGAGCAAACAGG